Molecule: RNA transcript, 1872 nt
Organism: Mirounga angustirostris (Northern elephant seal)
Lineage: Eukaryota; Metazoa; Chordata; Mammalia; Carnivora; Phocidae
Gene: FAM3A
Gene name: FAM3 metabolism regulating signaling molecule A
Exons: 11
Source: RefSeq, a predicted model, not a curated record
GCCGCGGCCCCGCCCCGGGCCGCCAUUGCCGGGCCUGUCGGGCAGAGCUGCGCACCUCGCUCGCCUCCCGUCGCGGAGCGGAGCCGAGCGGCCGGCCUGACCAGGCUGCCCCCAACCCAGCUCGCAUCUCCCCCACGGCCAGAGCGCACGGUCCCCAAACAGUGCACCUGCCGGCGGCCCCAACCCAGCGGUAGAAGUGGACAUGAGGCUGGCAGGCCCCCUCCGCAUUGUGGCCCUGGUUGUCACCGUGGGCCUUACCUGGAUCGUGGUCAGCAUCCUCCUGGGUGGGCCUGGCAGUGGCUUUCCUCGCAUCCAGCAACUCUUCACCAGCCCAGAGAACUCAGUGACCACAGAGCCACGAGCCAGGAAGUACAAAUGCGGCCUGCCCCAGCCGUGUCCUGAGGAGCACCUGGCCUUCCGCAUGGUCAGCGGGGCUGCCAAUGUCAUCGGACCAAAGAUCUGCCUCGAAGAUAAAAUGCUCAUGAGCAGUGUCAAGGACAACGUGGGCCGUGGACUGAACAUCGCCCUGGUGAAUGGGGUCAGUGGUGAGCUCAUCGAGGCCCGGGCCUUCGACAUGUGGGCAGGAGAUGUCAACGAUCUGCUGAAGUUUAUUCGGCCACUGCAUGAAGGCACCUUGGUAUUUGUGGCAUCCUACGACGACCCAGCCACCAAGAUGAAUGAAGAGACCAGGAAGCUUUUCAGCGAUCUGGGCAGCAAGAACGUGAAGGAUCUGGCCUUUCGGGACAGCUGGGUGUUUGUGGGGGCCAAGGGCGUGCAGAACAAGAGCCCCUUUGAGCAGAUGCUCAGGCUGGUCCCAUCCUGCUGCGACCCAGUGCCCUGGUUCACACCGCACUUCCUGCUCCCGCCAGCCCCUGCUGCCCUCUGGUCGACUGCUCCUCCAGAGCCACACAUGUCAAGCCCCACGUGAGGGUCUGCGAAGCCCCAGGCACCAUCCUCAUCUGUGGGAGGCUCCUAGCCUGGUGAAAGCCACAGUGCUCCCCAGUCCUGCCGCCCGCCCCCCGCCCCCAGCAGGACAAGGCAAAUAGGCUGUUCAGUGGUUUCUGGAAGGCUCUGGCUGCCAGAAAAGAGCAACUCAGCACCCCGAGAAGAAAUGCGCCCUCUGGCUUUGUUCUUCCUGAAGCUUCCAGCAGCUCCCUGCGGGCCAGCACGUGAAGAACAGUAAGCACACCAAUAAGUACGAAGGCUGGCCUGAGGCGCUGGAGAUGGAAGGCUGCAUCCCGAGGAGGACCACGGCCAGCUAGCCGGCCGAGCGCAAGGACCAGGCUGAGGGAGGCUGCGUGUGCCCGGCCGGGAGAAGGCAGUGGUGGCGCCAGGGCAGGGCCGAGGCCUGACCCCGCGCCCAGCCGGGAACGCUCUUGCCCCAACACGUCGGGGCUCCGAGGCAGGGACCGGGGCCCAAGUGUGACUGGUGGGGGGGCUCACUUGGACAGGGGAAGUCAGGUGCCCAUCUCCUUCUUCUAAAGCUGCCUCCCCUGGGGAGCCCCCACCUGAUCCCCAAGCACCUGCAGCUACAAGGGCCCCGGGGCGUGCCGCCCCCUCACUGCACGAAUGUGGUAGCAGCCCUGCAGGGGCGGGGCAUCUCCCAGAACCUCUCCACCCCAGAGCCACUUGCUGUUCUUUGGGCUAAUCCUGUUUCCAGCACGAGUCCUUCCGACGAGCCACACCUGGUGGCCGCUUCAGGACGCUGGCCGCCUCCUGCCUUGCUCUCUGCCGGAAGGGGCCUCCUUGGAGUCAGGCUGGCAGGGGCGCUAAAGGGGCACCUGAUCACCACCCUUAGCGCAGCAGAUGGCUCCUGCAGUUUGUCAGGGGGCCCGCCCUCUCGAUGACCUCUUAAUAAAUUAGUGGCCCCCA